This 499-nucleotide ribosomal RNA is filed under the name uncultured bacterium. RNAcentral describes it as "partial 16S ribosomal RNA". It matches the Rfam family "Bacterial small subunit ribosomal RNA", at positions 899 to 1397 of the family's 1533-position model. The record is from RNAcentral.
ACUCAAAGGAAUAGACGGGGACCCGCACAAGCAGUGGAGUAUGUGGUUUAAUUCGAAGCAACGCGAAGAACCUUACCAGGUCUUGACAUCCCCAUGAAAAGGCUAGAGAUAGCCUCCCUCUUCGGAGCAUGGGAGACAGGUGGUGCAUGGUUGUCGUCAGCUCGUGUCGUGAGAUGUUGGGUUAAGUCCCGCAACGAGCGCAACCCUUGAUGCUAGUUGCCAGCACGUAACGGUGGGCACUCUAGGAUGACUGCCGGUGACAAACCGGAGGAAGGUGGGGAUGACGUCAAAUCAUCAUGCCCCUUAUGACCUGGGCUACACACGUACUACAAUGGCCGGUACAACGGGAAGCGAAGGAGCGAUCUGGAGCGAAUCCUUAGAAGCCGGUCUCAGUUCGGAUUGCAGGCUGCAACUCGCCUGCAUGAAGUCGGAAUUGCUAGUAAUCGCGGAUCAGCAUGCCGCGGUGAAUACGUUCCCGGGUCUUGCACACACCGCCCGU